AUGAUGCAGGGACAAUGUCUAGUACUCACUUCUCACUCAUGAAAAUAAGCAUUUCUGUAAGGAUUCUGAUAAGUUUAGGUUAACAGUACCUUCUAGAAACAAAGAACAUGUUGCCAGGAGUGCUCACAGAUACUGAAUUAUUGUUAUUGCCUUACCCUUUUGGACAGAGUUCAAGCCAGAUUUUAUGAUUGAUUGGUUUCUGAUGCUCUGUAAUUUCACUGAAACACACCUCCACGAACAUGGAAUGUUUUCUGACUGAAACUCAGGGGACUCCCUAAGUGCGUAUGUUGCUCCGUGUUCAUGGCCUAGUAAACCAGCAGAAGAUGGCCCAAGUGUUUGGAUCCCUGUUGCCCUUGUGAGAGACCUGGAUGAAGCUCCUGGCUCCUGGCUUUGCCCUGGCCGCUGCUGGAUGUUGUAGCCAUCUGUUGUAUAGAUCUGAGAGCACACACUGUCGGGUCCUUGUGUGGACUCUGUUCCAGCCUUAAACAUUGAUUCAUUCUUGUGGCGGCUCAGCCAGAGAAGCAGCAGCAGAGCUGGUUCUCCAGGGACUCUUCCUACAAGGUUGCCAAUUCUACGAGGCCAAGUCCCCACGCGUGAACUCUUCUAUCCCUAAUUACCUCCAGAAGUCUCAUCUCCAAAAACUGCUCAUUAGUGCUCAGGGUUCUGAAGCAUGAACUGAGGAGGGCAGGGGUGGCACCCUGUAGCCAAGAAUCAACCAGGAAGGAAAUCUUUGAGGGAAUUUCGUCCAUCAGAAUCCACCAAAGGAGGAAUGAAAGGCAACCCAUAACUGCGGGAAGCUAUUUCCAAGAGAUACACUUGGCCAUGUCCAGGGUGUAUAAACAGAUCUUCCGUCACAAAGAAAAGACAGACAACUCAAUAGGAAAAUAGGCAGAAGAUUAUAUCCAAAUGACCGAAAAACAUAAAAACUACUGAACACUAUUUUUCAACAGAGAAAAGUGAACUGAAAUCAAAAUAGACUCUCCGGCUUACAGGAUGGCAAAAAUGAAAAAGACAAACGAUAUCGAGUGUUGACAAUGCUUUGAUUCUCACUGCUCUUAAGCAGAUUCUUAGGUUAAUCAGCAGGCCCACUCUCCUCAAUUCCUUUUAAGUGGAAGUAAGAAGGAAGUAAUGGAUUUUGGAAGAUCUAUUGACUUCUAGGGUUCUCUCUUAGACCAUAUGAUUCUGAUAUUUUGUUAAUUUAAUAUGCACAACCUGAACAUCUCCCAUAAGCAAGCCAUCAAGUGCCUAAGAGGAAGAAAAACAUAUUUGCCAUCAUUCAUAUCUCUUAAGAGCUGUCUAAAUCAUGAGGAUUUAUGAACUAGAUACAAAUACAGCACCUAAACCCAUAUAUUUAUUUACAGAAGUGUUUAAGACUUGGAGAAGAUAUUAUCGUUUCCAAAAUGAGAAAUAAAAAUGCACUCAGCCAAGAUAUGAACAUUAAGUUUCUACCAAACUUAAUAGUAUAUCAACUUCAUUAGGGGAUAAACUGUGUAUUCAUCAAAAUUGUAUUACACAUGAAGAUAAUUAGUUUGAGAUUUCUUAAUGGUGCAGGAAGAAAAAAUCGUAGUUGGGCCGAUGUUUAGCCUAGGAAUUAAGAUGCCACUUUGUCAAAUGCCAUCCCAGAGUAUGGGUUCAAGGCCAAUUCUCUCCUGAAUCUAGCUACCUGCUAAUGCACACCCAUUAUAAUACCACACACAAUCUUCAGCUAUAUUGACUAUUUCCAGCUUGCAUUGGUUCCAAGUUGCAAAGUCUCUAUUCUUACAAUUUUCCCCUAAAUGGCAGUGGGGGAGGGGCAUGAACAGCAUGUGAAAUGGGACUUUGAGUGGCACACAGGAAGGGGUGGUCUAGCAAAGAGGAGGGUGUAUAAGCAGCAGGGACAGGGGCUGUCACACAAUGGGGCAGGGCUGUAGCAGGCUGGGCUGCUGAGCAGAGCUUGGAAAACCACAGCUCCUCUUGCUAGUGCUACCUGCCUGCCGACAUCAAUUUUAAUAAAGAUCUGUUCUGGUUGUGAAAUGUUAUUGUGUAGAAGUUUACCUAAAUAGGCAUUAAAUAACUAAAUUUUCAAAUAUUCUAAAAACAUUUUGUACUUUCAAAAAUGUUUAUAUAUAUAUCUGUAUAUCUAUAUCAAUCUCUUUGGAAUUUUCUUUCCACCUUUUUGGCACAUUUUAUUUAUGCAUGUUAUUAAUUAUUAUGAGUGUUUCAGGUCAUUCAUUAAUAAAAUAUGGCAUUUCUUUGGCAAGAAAAUCCUAUUAAUGGUUUGCUAUAAAAGCCCUAUAAAUGGAGUUCUAAGUACUUUAUCAGCUUCCUGUCCUCUUUUUGAAUGACAGCUUGAAUCAUUAAAAGCAGUCAGCACUAAAAUGAUUUAUUUCCAUCUAAAUAGAGAUUACUUGAUUUAAUUAAGUACGCUGUGUGUUUCUCGAUUGCCACAAAGUGGUUCCUGCAAACUUCUGACUCAUUGCUUAGUGUUCUCCUGGCCUCAGUGGGAUACUGAGAGGAUUCAGGUUUUAGAACUUUUAGCUCUACCUUGCAAAUGGCUUUAAAAAUUUAAUAACUCUUCAGAAAUUCUGUGUAAGCUUAUGAAAUUUUUAUACUUCCUGGUCACUUUUUACAUGAAAGUUACCAUGCUUUCAAAUAUCUCUGUGUAUAUAAGCAUCAAAACACAGAGUCUAAUAAUGACCCCACAAACAUUAGGAUGUACACUUGAAAUAUCUCUUGGCAUUUGUUCAUUAAACUAAUUCUUUUUUAUUAUCUGUACAAAGGAACAAUUUUUAUGUUUGCAACUCUCAUUUUUCAGGUUUGAAAUUUAAAAAUGUACCAGAUUCACAAUCAAAAAUAAAAUUUGCAGUUUUCAUACAUUGGCUUUCCUGUAUUUCACUGAAUCUCUUGUAUUAUAAAAUCAUCCAGGUAUUCCUGAAAGUCAUAUUUCCCCUGAGCAUGACCAUAUAUUCCUUCUCUUAUCUUCUCUUUGGCUACUAGAUUGCAGGGAUUUGAAGUCAAGGCAGACAGAAGCAUGGUUGAUAGAAGUCCAGGGGAUACCAGCACCUACAAGUGUGGGUAGCAAUUGAGAGCUCUGAAGUCAAAUGACCUUAGUGUGAAAACCAAUGUUGUCACCCCUACCUAUGAGUCUCCAUGCUUGCUUCUGUAAAAUAACAAUUAUGAAGCUACAAGUACCAUGUAUUGCAAGGAAUAAGCAGGUUACUUACUGCAAAUUAUUCAGUGCAGCUCUGGCACCCAGUAAACACUCAAUGAUUGUUGACUUUUAUGAGCCGCAAUUGACUUUGCACCGUUUUAUGCUGGGCUUUUACCCUUUAUGUACAUCAUCUCCCAUUUGCACCAUAUCUUUGCAAGAUAAACAGUGUACCCCUCUUUUACAGGCAAUAAACCAGGGCUAUGAAAUGAUUUGCCAAAGAUCUUAGAGGGAAUGAAUGCUAGAGGUCAAUCCAGGGCUAAACCUUAAAUCCUCAAUGUUAUCGUUCUUAUAUCAUCCCUUCAGAUAAAGAAAUUAGAAAAACAAACAAAAACUGGCAUUGGAUGCUCCAAAUAACAUAGAAAACCUGAAAUGUGGUAUAUUUCAAAGAUGAGAGGGGAAGCAGACUGAUAACCAAAGGGAAGUUGGCAAUGCUUGAAUGGCCUGGCCAGAGCCCACAAUGUCACUGAGGUGCGUCAGACAACCACCAAGGACUCUUGUCCAAGUGCACUACAGUGGGGAUGGAGCGCCCAGCGUCAAGCAGUCCACAGCUGUGCAGCCACACUCCCCUGUGUGGGAGCUCUCACCAGCUCCCUGAUGGUUAGGAAAGAGCCUCUGGCUUUCAGCACUGUUUAGGGUAUGAGGCUCCUUCUGCCUCAUUUUUGGAGAAGGCUGCAAGACACAUGCUUCUGCUCUCUAAAAUCUUGAUGGAUCAGUUGCAGGUACAAGUGCACGAAAGAAGAAACUUGAUUUUCAACCUCAUUGCUUCUACAGUCUUACUCUCAGCUGAUGACAUGAGUUUAUAUUUCUCUGAUAAAAUACUAGCAAAUAGAAGAGCUUUCCACAAAACUAUCCAUCAAACACACACACUUUAAUAGAAUCUCACUCACAUGCUGAUUUCUCAGUCCGUGUCCAGAGAUAAAUAACCCAUGCUCCUUUAUUUAAGCCAACUCCAUUACUUGUGCGCAGUUGUCACCCAGUCAAAGCUUGCCACAAGAGCUCCAGGCCUGGCCUCAUCAAACACUGCUUCCUCAUAUGGAAGGAAGAUAAACAACUGAAGAAGGACAGUAGAGAUGGCCUGUCCUCACAGCUCCCUAGUCCUAGUUCUGUUUUAUUGCAUUAAACCUCUGAGUCAGUCGUGUGCUCAUUGAAGCAAAAGAAAAAUUUCUAAGACUCCAACCAUUCUAUUAACAUAUAUGGAAUUAAUUCAAAUUUACUUCUUGCUAAAUAUUUCAACUAUAAGGGGAAAAUAAUUCAUAAAUAUCUUGCGAGGAUGUAAAAUGUAAUUUUAAUAAGUAAAUUCCUCUUGAUUUCCUAACUUUGUGAACAUGAAAAAUUUCCCCACUAACAUUUGUACUCAAAAUUUUAUCAAAAUUAAUUUUUGUCUAUUUUCUGGAUUGUUAAGAUAUCUGAGAACAAUAUAGCAUGGUAUGUAGUUUCAUUAACGAUUUACAAGAAAAUGAAGGGAUAUGGAUACACACACACACACACACACAUAUAUAUAUAUGUAAUCUCUUACAUCUAUAUACAUAUGAUGGUGGUUAAGUUUUUGAGUUAUCCUUGUCUUCUGGAAAAUCUGAGAAGAGCAAGUUGAAAUAAACAAUCUUUCAUUGUUAUGAAAUUUUUGAGAAGAUAUGAAAUUUCCAAAUGUUACCCAAGAACAAAGAAAGAGAGUAAUGGAUUUGUGGAUGAAGCCUUAACGACACAUAAUGUGGUGAAGACAGGGAGGGAAGUUAGAGAGCUGUGUCUCACAUCAGAACUAGCACUAACUGCAGGGGAUUUCUGAGAGAUGAAGGGAAAAAAGACAUUGAACAACAGAACAAACAAUCCAAUUAGGAAAUAAGCAAAGGGCCAAAAUAGAUGUUUCCCCCUUUUACAGAUUUAUUUAUUGGUUUAUUUGGAAAGGAGGGAGGUGGAGAGAAGAGAGAGAGAGAGAACGAGAGCAAGAGCGAGAGAGCUGAGACUAGGCCAGGCUGAAGUCAGGAGCCUGGAGCUUCAUCCAGGUCUCCAAGAUGGGCAGCAGGAAAUCAAGUGCUUGAGCACGUUCUUCUGCUUUCCUAGACACAUUAGCAGGAGAUGAAUCAGAAACAGAGUAGUCAGGACUUAAACUGGAACCUUGAUAUGGGAAGGGGGUAUCUCAGAAGGCUGUGUCACCCAUUGUGCCACAAAGUUGGCCUCUUGAAUAUGCAAUUUUUAAGAGAAGUGGCCAACAAACACAUUAACAAUGUUCAGGAUCACUAACCAUCAGAAAAACACAAUUAAAAACCACAGUGAGGUAUCAUCUCAGGUCACUUAAAAUGGUUAUUAUCAAAAAGACAGGCAAUAUCUAAUGCUGGCAAUGUUGUGGAGAAAAGAGAACCCUAAUACGGUAUUGGCAGGAAUGCAUAUUCGUACAACCAUUAUGGAAAACAGUGUGGAGAUUCCUCAAAAAACUAAAAACAGACUUAUCAUAUGACACAGCUAUCCCACUUCUGAUUAUAUUAAAAGAAAAUGAAGUUGGUAUAUGAAAGAAAUAUUUGUUCUCCAAUGUACAUUACAGCCCAAUCCACAACAGCAAUGAUAUUGAAUCAACCUACAUGUCAAUCAACUGAUGACUAAAAAAAGAAAAUGUGGAAUAGAUACUCAUGAUGGAAUAUUACAUGGUCAUUACAAGAAUGAAAUCCUGACAUUUGCAGCAAAAUGGAUGGAAAUAAACUUCAUUAUGUUAAGUGAAAUACCAUAUUGAGAAGUACAAGCACCAUGCUUUCUCUCAUAUGUGGAAGUAGGCAUGCAUGUAAAUAGAUGUUGGGUAGGUAGAUAACAUGUAGAUUCCAUAUACUUGAUACAUAUGUAGAUUUUUAUAUUUCAUCCUUAAUGAUUUAUACUCCUUACAUGACAAUAUGCUAAUCUGUCCUCAUUUUAUGGUCUUUUUCAUGAGUCUCAUAUUGUGUGAAUUACCAACGGCAAAAGGAAGACCUUUCUCUGUCUCUCUCUCACUGUCCACUCUGCCUGUCAAAAAAAAAAAAUCUAUCUCUUCUCUCAGUGUAUGUGUCUACACAUAAUGUUUACAAAUGAAGAAAGUAUGGCAAAUGCUAAAAACGUAUUACAAGUCCUGUCACUACUUCCCAGCUAGCCUCCCGCUACACUCCUGCGAGGCAGUAGUCGAUGAUCCUAAUGCUUGGGUGUCUGACACCCAUCUGGGAGAGCCAAAUGGAGUUCCUGACUCCUGGCUUUGGCUUGGCCCAGGCCUGGCUAUUGCCACCAUUUAGGUGGUUAACCAGCAGGGGAAUCAUUCUCUCUUUUCCUUUUUGUCUCCCCCCUUGUCACUGUGAUUUUCAAAUAAAUAAAUGAACUUAAACAAGAAAAUGUUAAAACAUCUAACUUCAAACAUUAGAAUGAAGAAGCAAGAUACGGAGAAAGACCAGCAUGCCUAAAGUUAUGAAAAGAAAGUUCAUAGGAAAGAGGUUCUUAUUCUUAACACCACUCAUAAUAAGAUUAUGUACAUUUAAAAUCACCCCAAAUGCCAUUUCUUUCCUGACAGAUUGACAAAAAUUCCCCAUGACAAAUAGUCUGAUAUCAAGGUAAAAAGAAAAUAUAUAUUCUUGUAGUCCUUGUGAGACUACAAAUUACAACACUAUUAAGGAACACAACAGACAAUGUACAAUUUUUAAAACAUGGAAUUAUUGUACUUAUCCAAGAAAUUCAAAAGUUAGAAUCUGUCUUAUUUAUGUAUAUAUUCUAUUACACAAAAAAGCACUUACACUUACAACUACAUGCUUAUCAUUUGUAGCAUGGCUAUUUAUAGCACAAGAGUAUAAACAAGUGGCUGGUACUGUGCUGCAGUAGGUUAAGCUGCCACCCCAUAUACUGGCACCCCAUACGAGCCCUGGUUCAAGUCCUGGCUGUUCCACUUCUGAACCAGCUCCCUGCUAACGCGCCUGGGAGGCAGCGGAAGACGGCUCAGGUGCUUAGACCCCUGCCACCCAGGUGGAAGUCCCAGAUGAAGUUCCUGGUUAAUGGCUUCGACCUGGCCCAGCGUCCCCUGCCACUGCAGCUCUUUGAGGAGUGAACCAGCAGAUAAAAGAUCUUUCUGCCUCUCCCUCUUUCCCUGUAACUUUGCCUUUCAAAUAAAAAAAUUACAUCUUUAAAAAAGGAGUAGAAACAAAAAAAGGUUUUCUAUCCUGCAACUUUGCCAAAUUCUUCUAUGAGUUUCAUAAUCUCUUGGGAGUCCUGUGGUUCCCAACAAUCAGGAUCACAUCAUCUGCAAACAAAGAUAAUCUGAUUUCCUACAUUCCCAUUUGUAUGCAUUUGAUUUAUUUUCUUCUCUAAUGGCUGUGGCUAAAACUUCCAGAAUCAUAUUGAAUAGUAAUGGUGGCAAUAGUAUUUGUCUGGUUCCAGCUUUUCCCCAGUCAAUAUAAUGCUGAGAGUGAGUUUGUCAUAUAAAGUUAGGUUCCUUCUAUACUUACUUUACUCAAGGUUUUUAAUCAUGAAAGUAUUUUGUAUUUUAUCAAAUGCCUCUCUGCAUCUAUUGAGAUAAUCAUAUGUUUUUUAUUCUUCAGUUUGUAAAUAUGCUGUAUUCUGUUUGAUUUGCAUAUGUUGAAGCAUCCCUGUAUAUCAGGGAUAGAUUCCACUUGGUCCAGAUGAAUUAUCUUUUUGGUGUGUUGAUGGAUUUGAAUAGCUAAUGUUUUUUUGAGGAUUUUUUUUAUUUGAUAAGUAGAGUUAUAGACAGUGAGAGAGAGAGACAGAGAGAAAGAGGUCUUCCUUCCGUUGGUUCACUCCCAAAAUGGCCACUACGACUUGCGCUGUGCCGAUCUGAAGCCAGGAGCCAGGUGCUUCUUCCUGGUCUCCCAUGCGGGUGCAGGGGCCCAAGCACUUGAGCCAUCCUCCGUUGCCCUCCAGGGCCACAGCAGAGAGCUAGACUGGAAGAGGAGCAAACAGGACUAGAACAGACACCCAUAUGGGAUGCCAGUGCCACAAGGCAGAGGAUUAACCAAGUGAGCCACGGUGCCGGUCUUUUGAGGAUUUUUACAUCUGUUCAUCGAAGACAUUGCUCUGGUUUUCUUCCUUUAUUUGCAAACUUUAUAGCUGAUAAAGGGUUAAUAUCCAGAAUGAAUAAAAUUUCAAGAAACUCAACCACAACAAAAUAAGCAAACUAAUCAAGAAAUGGGCUGAGUAUAUGAACUGGCAUUUUUCAGAGUAUGAAAUACUAGUGACCAACAGACCUAUGAAAAAUUCUGAUUCACUAGCCAUCAUUGAAAUGCAAAUAAAAACCAUAAUGAGGUUUCACUUCACCACAGUGAGAAUGGCUACCACCCAAAAAUCAAAAAUAACAAACGCUUGAUAGGAUGUGUGAAAAAAAGGUACCCUAAUACACUGUUGGUGGGAAUAUAAACUACUACAGUUUGUGGAAGACAGUAAGGAGAUUCCUCAGAAAUCUGAAAAUAGAUCUGACAUAUGACCCAGCCAUUUCGCUCCUGGAAAUUACCCAAAGGAAAUGGGAUCAGCAUAUGAAAGAGUAAUCCAUAUCUCCUUGAUUACAGCAGAUCAACUCACCAUAGCUAAGAAAUGGAAUCACCCCAGUUGUCCAUCAACUGAUGAUUGGAUAAGGAACAUGUGGUAUAUAUACACGAAAUGAUACUACUCAGCCAUAGGAAAGAAAAAUUUCUUCUGAAACAAAAUGGAUGCAGUUGGAGACCAUUAUGCUUAGUGAAACAACUCAGCCCACAAGAGACUAAUAUCAAGUUUUCCCUGGUUUAUCAUAACUAAUAUAAAGAGUACCAAAAAAUGAAAUGUAUAAAAAUCAAAUUGACACUUUGAGAUUUGAUAAGCUUUUAUUUAUAUCCCUGUCUAUACUCCUGAGAAACAGUAGUUUUUCUACUUACUAUUUGUUGAAUUUUUUUUUUAUUUGGUGGAAGGUUAAUCUUGUGACUGUAAAGUAAAUUGGAAGUAUGUCAUUGCAAAAAAAUAAAAUAAAAAUAAGGAAGUUAGGAGAAGGGAGAGUAGGAGCCAGCAAAAGAGGGUUUGGUGGGAAUGACCAUUAUACUCUUAAAACUGUACAUAUGGGGGCUGGGGCUGUGGAGUACCGGUUCCCCAUAUGGCCGCUGGUUCAAGUCCCGGCUGUUCUACUUACAAUCCAGUUCUCUGUUAUGGCCUGGGAAGGGAGUAGAAGAUGGCCCAAAUCCUUGGGCCCCUGCACCUGUGUGGGAGACCUGGAAGAAGCUCCUGGUCCCUGGCUUUGGAUCAGCACAGCUCUGGCCAUUGCAGCCAAAUGGGAAGUGAACCAGCAUAAGGAAGACCUCUCUCUCUCUCUCUCUCUGCCUCUCCUUCUCUUUCUGUGUAAGUGUGAUUUUCAAGAAAAUAAAUAAAUAUUUUAAAAAACUGUACAUAUGAAACGUUAUUUUUUCCCAUUGUAAAAAAAAAAAAAAAAAUCGGGGCUGGCGCUGUGGCGCAGCAGGUUAAUGCCCUGGCCUGAAGCGCCAGCAUCCCAUAUAGGCGUCAGUUCUAGUCCCGGCUGCUCCUCUUCCAAUCCAGCCCUCUGCUGUGGCCUGGGAUAGCAGUAGAGGAUGGCCGAAGUUCUUGGGCUCCUGCAUCCAUGUGGGAGACCUGGAGGAGGCUCCUCGCUUCGGAUCAGUGCAGCUCCAUCCUCUGUGGCCAACUGGGGAGUGAACCAGCAGAUGGAAGACCUCUCUCUUGCAUGCUUUUUCUCUCUCUCUCUCUCUGCCUCUCC
This is a long non-coding RNA of Oryctolagus cuniculus (rabbit), 9893 nucleotides long. RefSeq lists it as uncharacterized. Lineage: Eukaryota; Metazoa; Chordata; Mammalia; Lagomorpha; Leporidae. The record is from RefSeq and is a predicted model, not a curated record.